UUUGAUCCUGGCUCAGGAUGAACGCUGGCGGUAUGCCUAACACAUGCAGUCAGCUUGAAGCAGUUUCGGCUGUGGAUGGUGGCGGACGGGUGAGUUACGCCUUAAAUAACUUGCCCUUUAGACUGGGACAACUGUUGGAAACGACAGCUAAUACCAGAUAUUAUGAAACCUUGGCAUCAAGGGAUUAUGAAAGCUAUAUGCGCUAGAGGAGAGAUUUGCGUCCUAUUAGCUAGUUGGUGAGGUAAUGGCUCACCAAGGCGACGAUAGGUAGCCGGCCUGAGAGGGUGAACGGCCACAGGGGGACUGAGACACGGCCCUUACUCCUACGGGAGGCAGCAGUGGGGAAUAUUGGACAAUGGACCAAAAGUCUGAUCCAGCAAUUCUGUGUGUUUGAUGAAGGCCUUCGGGUUGUAAAGAACUUUAAGUAGGGAAGAAGAAAGUGACGGUACCUACAGAAUAAGCGACGGCUAAAUACGUGCCAGCAGCCGCGGUAAUACGUAUGUCGCAAGCGUUAUCCGGA
Molecule: ribosomal RNA, 520 nt
Filed under: uncultured bacterium
Lineage: Bacteria
Description: bacterial SSU rRNA
Rfam family: Bacterial small subunit ribosomal RNA
Source: RNAcentral